UGGGGAAUAUUGCACAAUGGGCGAAAGCCUGAUGCAGCAACGCCGCGUGAGUGAUGAAGGCCUUCGGGUUGUAAAGCUCUGUCUUUUGGGACGAUAAUGACGGUACCAAAGGAGGAAGCCCCGGCUAACUACGUGCCAGCAGCCGCGGUAAUACGUAGGGGGCAAGCGUUACUCGGAUUUACUGGGCGUAAAGCGAAUUAAGGCGGUCUUGUAAGUCAGAGGUGAAAUCCCUCAGCCUAACUGAGGAAUAGCCUUUGAUACUGCUUGACUAGAGGACAGGAGAGGAAAGUGGAAUUCCCGGUGUAGCGGUGGAAUGCGUAGAUAUCGGGAGGAACACCAGAGGCGAAGGCGGCUUUCUGGACUGGUCCUGACGCUGAUAUUCGAAAGCUAGGGGAUCAAACA
This 402-nucleotide ribosomal RNA is filed under the name uncultured prokaryote. Its description in RNAcentral is "bacterial SSU rRNA". It matches the Rfam family "Bacterial small subunit ribosomal RNA", at positions 355 to 774 of the family's 1533-position model. The record is from RNAcentral.